AUAGCCGAGUGUUUCAAGUACAUACAUGUUCUUUUUCAGUUGCUCUUCCAUUACAAGCUAUUACAAGAUAUUGAACAUAGAUCCCUAUGCUGUACAGUAGGUACUGGUUGGUUGUCUAGUUUAUACAUAGUAGUGUGUUCCUGUUAAUCCAAACCUCCUAAUUUAUCCCUCCCCUCUUUCUCCUUUGAGAACUAUAAGGCUGUUUUCUAUGUCUGAGUCUUUUUUUGUUGUUGUGUAAAUAAGCUCAUUUGUAUCAUUCUUUAUAUUCCACAUAUAAGUGAUAGCAUAUGCUAUCUGUCUUUCUGUCUGACUUCACGUAGUGUAAUAAUCUUUAGGUCCAUCCAUGUUGCUGCAAAUGGCAAAAUAUUUCAUCCUUUUUAUAGCUGAGUGAUAUUCCAUUGUAUAUAACACAUUGUCUUUACAUUCCUCUGUCAAAGGACACUUAAGUUGCUUCCAUGUCUUGGCUAUCAUAAAUAGUGCUGCUAUGAAUGUUGGGGUGCAUGUAUCUUUUCAAAUAUGGUUUUCUCCAGGUAUAUGCCAAGGAGUGGGGUUACUUGAUCAUAUGAUAGUUUUAUUUUUAGUUUUUUAAGGAACCUCCAUGCUGUUCUCCAUAGUGGCUGUACCAAGUUACAUUCCCACCAAAAGUGGAGGAGGGUUCCCUUUUCUCCACACCCUCUCCAACACUUAUUAUUUGUAGACUUUUUGAUGAUGGCCAUUCUGACUGGUGUGAGGUGGUAUCUCAUGGUAGUUUUGAUUUGCAUUUCUCUAAUAAUUAGUGAUAUUGAACAUCUUUUCAUGUGCCUGUUGGCCAUCUGUAUGUCUUCUUUCAAGAAAUGUCUUUUUAGGUCUUCUACCCAUUUUUUUGAUUAGAAUGUUUGGUCUUUUGAUACUGAAUCCUAUAUGAGUUGUUUGCAUAUUUUGGAAAUGAAUCCCUUGUCAGUCACACACUUUGCAAACAUUUUCUCCUAUUCUGCAGGUUGUGUCUUCAUUUUGUUUAUGAUUUCCUUUGCUGUGCAAAUGCUUUUAAGUUUAAUUAGGUCUCGUUUGUUUAUUUUUGCUUUUGUUUCCAUUACUCUAGAAAAUGGACCCCAAAAAAUGUUGCUGUAAUUUAUGUCAGAGUGUUCUGCCUAUGUUUUCCUCUAGGAGUUUUAUAUUAUUCAGAGUUAAUCCAUUUCGAGUUAAUUUUUCUGUAUGGUUUUAGAGAAUGUCCUAAUUUCGUUCUUUUACAUGUAGCUGACCAGUUUUCACAGCACCACUCAUUGAAGAGACUGUCUUUUCUCCAUUGUACAUUCUUGCCUCCUCUGUUGUAGGUUAAUUGACCAUAAUAUGUGGGUUUAUUUCUGGGUUUUCUAACCUGCUCCAUUGAUUUAUGUGUCUGUUUUAGUGCCAAUACCAUAGUGAAGUUUUUUUGGUUUUGUUUUUGUCUUUUUAGGGCUGCACCCACAGCAUAUGGAAGUUCACAGGCUAGGGGUCUAAUUGGACCUGCAGCUGCCAGCCUAUGCCACAGCCAUGGCAAUGCAGGAUCUGAGCAGUGUCUAUGACCUAACUCAACAGCUUGUGGCAACGCCAGAUCCUUAACCCAUUAAGUGAGGCCAGGGAUUGAAACCCAUAUCCUCAUGGAUACUAGUCAGAUUCUUACCACUGAGCUACAACAGGAGCUCCCCAAUACCAUACUUUUUUUGAUUACCGUAGCUUUGUAGUAUAGUCUGAGGUCAGGGAGCCUGAUCCCUCCAGCUAUGUUCUUCUUUCUCAGGAUUGUUUUUGUUAUCCAGAGUCUUCCAUGUUUCCACACACAUUUUAAAAUUAUUUGCCCUAGUUCUGUGAAAAUUGCGACUGGUAGUUUGAUAGGGAUUGCACUGAAUCUAUAGAUUGCCUUGGGUAAUAUGGUUAUCUUAACAAUAUUGAUUAUUCCAAUCCAAGAACAGAAUCUAUUACAAGAGGUCUUUCUUGGGUCCCUGCUUGUGUGACAGACUGUGUAUAGGGCACUGGGGUCAUUGGGAGGGACACUUUGAUAGGCUUAUCUGAGCAGCUGAAAGCCAGUGUGAAAGGCAUGUAAUGCAAAGCCACCAAAAGGCAUUACAGUAGGAUGUCAGUAAAGGUGUGGGCCACAUACCAUGGAAACUAGAGGAGAAGCAGCUGGAUCUGCCUGAUGAGGUUCAGGACAACCCAAGGUGGGGGUGUGGCACCUGAGGAGUCUGGAGGAUGAGUGGAGACCAUUCUUUGGCCUCCAGUAAGAAAGCUCGAAGCCCCAUUUCCUCCGUGAAUCCAUCCCCAGGGCUGUGCUUCUCUCCUUCUCUCUCUUUCUACUUUCAGAAAACCCACAGUGCUCUGUACCAUAGUUUGAUAUUGGCUUAUGGUCACAGGCUUAUCAUUAGAUUUUGUGUUGCUUGCAACCAUUUGACUGUUUUAGUGUAUUUGUUUAACAAACACUUACAUAGUACCUAAUACUUAGCAGGCAGUAUUCUAAGAAUUUAACAAACAUUAAUUCAUUCAACCCUCCUAACAUUCCUAUUACUGUCCCCAUUGUACAGAGAAGAAAGCUGAAGCAGAGCCCAGGUUCCCAUGGCUGGGAAGGGGAGGCCAUGCAUUUCAAGGCUCAGCAGGCUGGCUCCAAAACACAUGCUCUUAACUGCUCUGGGCUGCCUCUCUCUCAACAGCUGGAAGUUUCCAUAGUCCAGUGAUUGUAUCAGCUCCUUUAAUAAAAUCUCUCAUGGGAACUAGCAGAGAGAGGGUGUAAUAAAUGACCUAUCAAUAAAUAGUAAGCUGAAGGCUUCCUCACGUUUCAUUAUCAGGGGCUGACUCUCCUCUGGGAACUGGCAGUUUUGGGGACACUGAGCCUGAGGGGAUGAGGCAGGGAGGGGACUGAGGUGGCAUCAGGCAACUCAGUUGAAUGAGCUCAGGCUGUAAACGGGGUGUCAGGUGCCCAAGAUGAACCAUCCUCAUAGCCCGUGGACCCGAGCUGCCCCCCAGGUCCACUGUGAAAGGGAACAGAAUGGGCUAGUAGAAACAGCUGUGUUUUUUAAGUACAAUACUUCUAAAAUUCUGUGAUCAAAGGAAAUAAAACUUGAAGUUGGGAAGCCAAAUCCAGUGCUCCAAAAAGGCCAAUCUGGAGAUGCCCUCGAGCAGCCGGGACCUCAGCAGCUGCUUUUAGCUUUGCCCUGCUCCCCGGCCC
RNAcentral lists this long non-coding RNA (3172 nucleotides) under Sus scrofa (pig). RNAcentral's name for it is "lncRNA (ENSSSCG00005027390.1)". Lineage: Eukaryota; Metazoa; Chordata; Mammalia; Artiodactyla; Suidae. The record is from RNAcentral.